CAACCCUCGAGCCCCAGUGGCCCGGUGUUGGGGAUCUGCCACGGCAGGCCCCUAAAUCCAGUGGCGGACCCGUCGGGCCCUCUCCUUUACGUAGUAGCAUCAGCCUCGUAUCGGGAGCCUGCGGCGUCCUCGCCUCUAAACCCCCCAACAAGCCCGCCUCGGCGGCACCAA
This 171-nucleotide unclassified non-coding RNA is filed under the name uncultured Plectosphaerella. Its description in RNAcentral is "sequence contains ITS2". The record is from RNAcentral. Lineage: Eukaryota; Fungi; Ascomycota; Sordariomycetes; Glomerellales; Plectosphaerellaceae.